This 611-nucleotide ribosomal RNA is filed under the name Clemnius laccophilinus. RNAcentral describes it as "Hygrotus laccophilinus partial 18S ribosomal RNA". It matches the Rfam family "Eukaryotic small subunit ribosomal RNA", at positions 22 to 605 of the family's 1831-position model. The record is from RNAcentral. Lineage: Eukaryota; Metazoa; Arthropoda; Insecta; Coleoptera; Dytiscidae.
AGUCAUAUGCUUGUNUCAAAGAUUAAGCCAUGCAUGUNUCAGUACAAGCCGAAUUAAGGUGAAACCGCGAAAGGCUCAUUAAAUCAGUUAUGGUUCCUUAGAUCGUACCCACACUUACUCGGAUAACUGUGGUAAUUNUAGAGNUAAUACGUGCAAACAGAGCUCCGACCGGAGACGGGAGGAGUGCUUUUAUUAGAUCAAAACCAAUCGGCGGCGGGCGCGUCCGCGCGUCCGUUCGCCGCUCGACCUGGUGACUCUGAAUAACUUUACGCUGAUCGCACGGUCUCGCACCGGCGACGCAUCUUUCAAAUGUCUGCCUUAUCAACUGUCGAUGGUAGGUUCUGCKCCUACCAUGGUCGUAACGGGUAACGGGGAAUCAGGGUUCGAUUCCGGAGAGGGAGCCUGANAAACNGCUACCACAUCCNAGGAAGGCANCNNGCGCGCAAAUUACCCACUCCCGGCACGGGGAGGUAGUGACNAAAAAUAACGANNCGGGACUCAUCCGAGGCCCCGNAAUCGGAAUGNNUACACUUUAAANCCUUUAACNAGGAUCAAUUGGAGGGCAAGUCUGGUGCCNGCNNCCNCNGUAACUCCAGCUCCAAUAGCNUAUA